AGUCCCGUAGUGAAGGAUCACGUUGGGUUGCAAAUCCAGAAACGCAGAGUAAUACCCUGCCGGGGCUU
RNAcentral lists this transfer RNA (68 nucleotides) under Rhynchocypris lagowskii (Amur minnow). Its description in RNAcentral is "tRNA-Cys". It matches the Rfam family "tRNA". From Rfam's summary of the family: Transfer RNA (tRNA) molecules are approximately 80 nucleotides in length. Lineage: Eukaryota; Metazoa; Chordata; Actinopteri; Cypriniformes; Leuciscidae. The record is from RNAcentral.